Molecule: small nucleolar RNA, 139 nt
Filed under: Ochotona princeps (American pika)
Lineage: Eukaryota; Metazoa; Chordata; Mammalia; Lagomorpha; Ochotonidae
Description: Small nucleolar RNA SNORA74 (ENSOPRG00000023034.1)
Source: RNAcentral
CCCAGCUGUAGGCAACAGCCUAGGUUGUCUUGUAUCAAGGUAAGUGUUACACUGCUGGGAGAAAAGCAGCCAACAGCUGGCAUGCACUCUGGGUCUGGCUAACCCAAAUCUGUUUUAACUACAUCAGUAUGCCAGCAUA